CCUACGGGUGGCAGCAGUGGGGAAUAUUGCACAAUGGGCGAAAGCCUGAUGCAGCAACGCCGCGUGAGCGAUGAAGGCCUUCGGGUCGUAAAGCUCUGUCCUCAAGGAAGAUAAUGACGGUACUUGAGGAGGAAUCCCCUGCUAACUACGUGCUAGCAGCCGCGGUAAUACGUAGGGGGCUAGUGUUAUCGGGAAUUACUGGGCGUAAUGGGUGCGUAGGUGGCUUCUUAAGUCAGAGGUGAAAGGCUACGGCUCAAUCGUAUUAAGCCUUUGAAACUGGGGGACUUGAGUGCAGGAGAGGAGAGUGGAAUUCCUAGUGUAGCGGUGGAAUGCGUAGAUAUUAGGAGGAACACCAGUUGCGAAGGCGGCUCUCUGGACUGUAACUGACACUGAGGCACGAAAGCGUGGGGAGCAAACAGGAUUAGAUACCCUGGUAGUC
This 439-nucleotide ribosomal RNA is filed under the name uncultured bacterium. Its description in RNAcentral is "partial 16S ribosomal RNA". It matches the Rfam family "Bacterial small subunit ribosomal RNA", at positions 338 to 795 of the family's 1533-position model. The record is from RNAcentral.